UGAUUUUGCCACCGUCGUGGUUCUGCGGCGCGGCUUGCCGCGUCGAGCUAAGAGGGAAGCCGGUGCGCUUGCAUGUCGCGAGCAAAUCCGGCGCUGCCCCCGCAACUGUAGGCGGCGAGCCGACGUCCACAACGUCACUGGGAUAUCCCGGGAAGACGGACGGAGGCACUGACCCGCAAGCCAGGAGACCUGCCUCGACAAACAACGUCCA
RNAcentral lists this non-coding RNA (211 nucleotides) under Nitratireductor indicus. The record is from RNAcentral. RNAcentral also lists the same sequence under 1 other name. Lineage: Bacteria; Pseudomonadati; Pseudomonadota; Alphaproteobacteria; Hyphomicrobiales; Phyllobacteriaceae.